AGCAAUGUGGCAUAGUGGUAAUGAGUAGGGCUUGUAAGCGAAAGGUCACCAGUUCGAUUCCCCACUGGGACACUGUUG
This is a non-coding RNA of Megalops atlanticus (tarpon), 78 nucleotides long. Lineage: Eukaryota; Metazoa; Chordata; Actinopteri; Elopiformes; Megalopidae. The record is from the annotation of a GenBank genome assembly.